This 253-nucleotide ribosomal RNA is filed under the name uncultured bacterium. RNAcentral describes it as "partial 16S ribosomal RNA". It matches the Rfam family "Bacterial small subunit ribosomal RNA", at positions 524 to 776 of the family's 1533-position model. The record is from RNAcentral.
UACGUAAGGUGCGAGCGUUGCCCGGAUUUAUUGGGCGUAAAGGGCGCGCAGGCGGUACGGCACGUCCGUUGUGAAAUCGCUCGGCUCAACUGGGCGGGGGCAGCGGAUACGGCCGCACUUGAGCAAGCUAGGGGGCAAUGGAAUUCCCGGUGUAGUGGUGGAAUGCGUAGAUAUCGGGAGGAACACCAGUGGCGAAGGCGGUUGCCUGGAGCUUUGCUGACGCUGAGGCGCGAAAGCGUGGGGAGCGAUCCGG